UAAAAUUCUUGGUGGUUUCACAGCCGCUUUUUUUAUAAGCAGCUGCCUUUUUAUCUAAAAAAACGUUUUUUUAUCUAUUAAGUCUGCUGUGAUGGGUGGUGGGUAGAUGUAUUUUAGUGGUGGGUUACUGGUUUAGUGAUGUUCAGUUUAUUGUUGCUCUUUGUUAUUAGGAUUAAUCACUCUAAUCGAGUGAUUGAGAAAGCGAUUUUUAAAGCUAAAUUUAUUAUCAUAUCAUGAGGAAAAGGAGGCAGUAUGAAGAAACUUGUGUAGAUUAUUAAGUCCAACUUGAACUGGAAUUCAGAAAAAAAAUGGGGAAAUACUUAGGGUUGAUCAGCUGGUGUUGCAUGUCACAGAUGCCGCAUGUGCAUUUGGUAAUAAAAAUGAAAAUUCACGAGUUUUUCAGAAAGAUCAAAAUAAUAGUAAGUAUUUUAUACUCUUUCUUCAUAGUGCCUUGAGAAUAUGGUUCAGGCUGUUAUAAAUCGCAAUUUCCUUGGCCACAAU
Molecule: long non-coding RNA, 501 nt
Organism: Harmonia axyridis
Lineage: Eukaryota; Metazoa; Arthropoda; Insecta; Coleoptera; Coccinellidae
Exons: 2
Source: RefSeq, a predicted model, not a curated record